GACGAACGCUGGCGGCGUGCUUAACACAUGCCAGUCGAACGAAGAGCGAUGGAAGCUUGCUUCUAUCAAUCUUAGUGGCGAACGGGUGAGUAACGCGUAAUCAACCUGCCCUUCAGAGGGGGACAACAGUUGGAAACGACUGCUAAUACCGCAUACGAUCUAAUCUCGGCAUCGAGGAUAGAUGAAAGGUGGCCUCUACAUGUAAGCUAUCACUGAAGGAGGGGAUUGCGUCUGAUUAGCUAGUUGGAGGGGUAACGGCCCACCAAGGCGAUGAUCAGUAGCCGGUCUGAGAGGAUGAACGGCCACAUUGGGACUGAGACACGGCCCAGACUCCUACGGGAGGCAGCAGUGGGGAAUCUUCCGCAAUGGACGAAAGUCUGACGGAGCAACGCCGCGUGAGUGAUGACGGCCUUCGGGUUGUGAAGCUCUGUUAAUCGGGACGAAAGGCCUUCUUGCGAAUAGUGAGAAGGAUUGACGGUACCGGAAUAGAAAGCCACGGCUAACUACGUG
RNAcentral lists this ribosomal RNA (510 nucleotides) under uncultured bacterium. RNAcentral's name for it is "partial 16S ribosomal RNA". It matches the Rfam family "Bacterial small subunit ribosomal RNA", at positions 28 to 507 of the family's 1533-position model. The record is from RNAcentral.